RNAcentral lists this ribosomal RNA (459 nucleotides) under uncultured bacterium. Its description in RNAcentral is "partial 16S ribosomal RNA". It matches the Rfam family "Bacterial small subunit ribosomal RNA", at positions 338 to 795 of the family's 1533-position model. The record is from RNAcentral.
CCUACGGGGCGCAGCAGUGAGGAAUAUUGGUCAAUGGCCGGAAGGCUGAACCAGCCAAGCCGCGUGAAGGACGAAGGUGCCAAGCAUUGUAAACUUCUUUUGUCAAGGGACAAAAUCAGGCUCGAGAGCCUGACCGAGGGUACUUGAAGAAAAAGCAUCGGCUAACUCCGUGCCAGCAGCCGCGGGAAUACGGAGGAUGCGAGCGUUAUCCGGAUUUAUUGGGUUUAAAGGGUGCGUAGGCGGGCUGUUAUGUCAGCGGUAAAAGCCCGGGGCUCAACCCCGGCGAGCCGUUGAAACUGGCGGUCUUGAGAUGUCGAGAGGUAUGCGGAAUGCGCAGUGUAGCGGUGAAAUGCUUAGAUAUUGCGAAGAACUCCGAUUGCGAAGGCAGCAUACCGGCGGCGAUCUGACGCUGAGGCACGAAAGCGUGGGUAUCGAACAGGAUUAGAUACCCUAGUAGUC